This 87-nucleotide transfer RNA is filed under the name Candidatus Yanofskybacteria bacterium RIFCSPHIGHO2_01_FULL_41_26. Its description in RNAcentral is "tRNA-Leu". It matches the Rfam family "tRNA". Rfam says of the family: Transfer RNA (tRNA) molecules are approximately 80 nucleotides in length. Their secondary structure includes four short double-helical elements and three loops (D, anti-codon, and T loops). RNAcentral also lists the same sequence under 1 other name. The record is from RNAcentral. Lineage: Bacteria; Candidatus Yanofskyibacteriota.
GCCGCCGUGAUGAAAUUGGUAUACAUGCAUCACUUAAAAUGAUGUGGGAGCAAUCCCGUGUCGGUUCGACUCCGACCGGCGGCACCA